Molecule: ribosomal RNA, 451 nt
Filed under: uncultured bacterium
Lineage: Bacteria
Description: partial 16S ribosomal RNA
Rfam family: Bacterial small subunit ribosomal RNA
Source: RNAcentral
GGCGAACGCUGGCGGCAGGCUUAACACAUGCAAGUCGAACGCUCGUAGCAAUACGGGAGUGGCAGACGGGUGAGUAACGCGUGGGAAUAUGCCUUUUGGUUCGGAAUAACUCAGGGAAACUUGAGCUAAUACCGGAUAAGCCCGUGAGGGGAAAGAUUUAUCGCCAAAAGAUUAGCCCGCGUCCGAUUAGCUAGUUGGUGAGGUAAUGGCUCACCAAGGCGACGAUCGGUAGCUGGUCUGAGAGGAUGAUCAGCCACAUUGGGACUGAGACACGGCCCAAACUCCUACGGGAGGCAGCAGUGGGGAAUAUUGGACAAUGGGCGCAAGCCUGAUCCAGCCAUGCCGCGUGAGUGAUGAAGGCCUUAGGGUUGUAAAGCUCUUUUGUCCGGGAAGAUAAUGACGGUACCGGAAGAAUAAGCCCCGGCUAACUUCGUGCCAGCAGCCGCCGUAA